Theobroma cacao (cacao) is the source of this 268-nucleotide non-coding RNA. NCBI's taxonomy places the organism in Eukaryota, Viridiplantae, Streptophyta, Magnoliopsida, Malvales, Malvaceae. The record is from RefSeq and is a predicted model, not a curated record.
GGAUGCGCUUGUUACAGGGCUUUCUCGGCUGUUGCUGCAGCCAUUGAUUUCACUACCAUUUUCACCUACCAAAUCGCAAGCGGCCAUGAACAACAAGCAGCUGCGAGCGAGGGAGCAAGAAUAGGGGGCAUCCAAACAGAAAACGGUACGAGAACUGGGACAGCGGCUUUGGGAUUCCUCUCACUUGCUCAACGCUCAAAUCUGAGCGCGACCUUCUAUGCUAUUUCCCUUCUUUUCUUUUAUGUAUUAUAUUUAUCCUUUUCUUCUA